ACGGCAGCACGGGAGCAAUCCUGGUGGCGAGUGGCGAACGGGUGAGUAAUAUAUCGGAACGUGCCCAGUAGUGGGGGAUAGCCCGGCGAAAGCCGGAUUAAUACCGCAUACGACCUGAGGGUGAAAGCAGGGGAUCGCAAGACCUCGCGCUAUUGGAGCGGCCGAUAUCAGAUUAGCUAGUUGGUGGGGUAAAGGCCUACCAAGGCUACGAUCUGUAGUUGGUCUGAGAGGACGACCAGCCACACUGGGACUGAGACACGGCCCAGACUCCUACGGGAGGCAGCAGUGGGGAAUUUUGGACAAUGGGCGCAAGCCUGAUCCAGCAAUGCCGCGUGCAGGAAGAAGGCCUUCGGGUUGUAAACUGCUUUUGUCAGGGAAGAAAUCUUCUGGGCUAAUACCCCGGGAGGAUGACGGUACCUGAAGAAUAAGCACCGGCUAACUACGUGCCAGCAGCCGCGGUAAUACGUAGGGUGCGAGCGUUAAUCGGAAUUACUGGGCGUAAAGCGUGCGCAGGCGGCUUUGCAAGACAGAUGUGAAAUCCCCGGGCUCAACCUGGGAACUGCAUUUGUGACUGCAAGGCUAGAGUACGGCAGAGGGGGAUGGAAUUUCGCGUGUAGCAGUGAAAUGCGUAGAUAUGCGGAGGAACACCAAUGGCGAACGCAAUCCCCUGGGCCUGUACUGACGCUCAUGCACGAAAGCGUGGGGAGCAAACAG
RNAcentral lists this ribosomal RNA (714 nucleotides) under uncultured bacterium. RNAcentral describes it as "bacterial SSU rRNA". It matches the Rfam family "Bacterial small subunit ribosomal RNA", at positions 66 to 775 of the family's 1533-position model. The record is from RNAcentral.